GGGAGAAUACCCAAGUGGCCAAAGGGGGCAGACUGUAAAUCUGUUGUCUAUCGACUUCGGUGGUUCGAAUCCACCUUCUCCCACCA
This 86-nucleotide transfer RNA is filed under the name Clostridiaceae bacterium. RNAcentral's name for it is "tRNA-Tyr". It matches the Rfam family "tRNA". Rfam says of the family: Transfer RNA (tRNA) molecules are approximately 80 nucleotides in length. Their secondary structure includes four short double-helical elements and three loops (D, anti-codon, and T loops). Lineage: Bacteria; Bacillati; Bacillota; Clostridia; Eubacteriales; Clostridiaceae. The record is from RNAcentral.